GUGCUCUGAAUGUCAAAGUGAAGAAAUUC
RNAcentral lists this non-coding RNA (29 nucleotides) under Drosophila yakuba. Lineage: Eukaryota; Metazoa; Arthropoda; Insecta; Diptera; Drosophilidae. The record is from RNAcentral. RNAcentral also lists the same sequence under 6 other names.